Phyllostomus discolor (pale spear-nosed bat) is the source of this 107-nucleotide small nuclear RNA. The record is from RefSeq and is a predicted model, not a curated record. NCBI's taxonomy places the organism in Eukaryota, Metazoa, Chordata, Mammalia, Chiroptera, Phyllostomidae.
GGGCCUCGCUUCGGCAGCACAUCUACUGAAACUGGAACGGCACGGAGAAGAUUAGCAUGGCCCCUACGCAAGGAUGACACACAAAUUUUGGAGCAUUCUAUACGUUU